AUGCACGCUGGCGGCGUGCCUAAUCCAUGCAAGUCGAGCGAACAGACGAGGAGCUUGCUCCUCUGACGUUAGCGGCGGACGGGUGAGUAACACGUGGAUAACCUACCUAUAAGACUGGGAUAACUUCGGGAAACCGGAGCUAAUACCGGAUAAUAUAUUGAACCGCAUGGUUCAAUAGUGAAAGACGGUUUUGCUGUCACUUAUAGAUGGAUCCGCGCCGCAUUAGCUAGUUGGUAAGGUAACGGCUUACCAAGGCGACGAUGCGUAGCCGACCUGAGAGGGUGAUCGGCCACACUGGAACUGAGACACGGUCCAGACUCCUACGGGAGGCAGCAGUAGGGAAUCUUCCGCAAUGGGCGAAAGCCUGACGGAGCAACGCCGCGUGAGUGAUGAAGGUCUUCGGAUCGUAAAACUCUGUUAUUAGGGAAGAACAAAUGUGUAAGUAACUAUGCACGUCUUGACGGUACCUAAUCAGAAAGCCACGGCUAACUACGUG
This 496-nucleotide ribosomal RNA is filed under the name uncultured bacterium. Its description in RNAcentral is "partial 16S ribosomal RNA". It matches the Rfam family "Bacterial small subunit ribosomal RNA", at positions 29 to 507 of the family's 1533-position model. The record is from RNAcentral.